GGCUCAGGAUGAACGCUAGCGAUAGGCUUAACACAUGCAAGUCAGGGGCAGCAUGGUCUUAGCUUGCUAAGACUGAUGGCGACCGGCGCACGGGUGCGUAACGCGUAUGCAACUUGCCUCACAGAGGGGGAUAACCCGUCGAAAGACGGACUAAUACCGCGUACACUUAUCGGAGGGCAUCCUUUGGUAAGGAAAUGAAAUUCGCUGUGAGAUAGGCAUGCGUCCCAUUAGCUCGUUGGUGAGGUAACGGCUCACCAAGGCAACGAUGGGUAGGGGAACUGAGAGGUUGAACCCCCACACUGGUACUGAGACACGGACCAGACUCCUACGGGAGGCAGCAGUGAGGAAUAUUGGUCAAUGGGCGAGAGCCUGAACCAGCCAAGUCGCGUGAAGGAUGACUGUCUUAUGGAUUGUAAACUUCUUUUGUAGGGGAAUAAAGACUAGUACGUGUACUGGAGUGAAUGUACCCUACGAAUAAGCAUCGGCUAACUCCGUG
Molecule: ribosomal RNA, 496 nt
Filed under: uncultured Porphyromonas sp.
Lineage: Bacteria; Pseudomonadati; Bacteroidota; Bacteroidia; Bacteroidales; Porphyromonadaceae
Description: bacterial SSU rRNA
Rfam family: Bacterial small subunit ribosomal RNA
Source: RNAcentral